UCCUAUGGCAGGCUGGAUCCAGGAUCCUGAGAUCAUGACCUGAGCUGAAAUCAAGAGUCGGAUGGUUAACUGACUGAGAUACCCAUGUGCUCCAGUCAUGAAAAUUCUAUGCCCAUUUUUUCAGAAUUCUCUUUCAGGAGCAUGACAUUUUUGUAGCAACUGCUAUUGGUCUGCAUGCACAGUUCAGCUAAACAGACCCAAUCUGAUUGAAAGACAGGACAAUAAUCCUUAUUUAGGGGAGAGAUUUCCUUUUUCUUUCUGUGUAGGCUAAAUUAAACAAGGAAAUGUAUGUAUCUAGUUUCUGUUGGCAAUCUCGGUGGUCUUCAAUGAAAGGAGGUCAAAGCGGGAGCCCUGAUUGAUGGGUCUUCACUAGGAGCUUUCCUCAGGUUCUGCUUCUGCUUGCAUGAGAUAAUAAACUUCCUUGUGAUUUAAAGCAUUUUGAGCCUAGUUUCUUUUACUUAAAGCUAAAAGAUAAUUGAAAGACAUCUGUAGUCUAAUUUUUUCCAAGUAAGAUAAAGUAAGACAAAAAAGGUACAAUUAUUGCAUUCAAGUACUAUCAAGUUUCCUGUGGAAGAUUCCUCAUGCAGAAAAAUACCUGUAACCAGAGGUUCUCAAAGACAGGAGAGAACCAUGGUGCCAUGGGUGUUUGGAGUAGUAAAAAUCUCUUUUCUGCUUUUCUGUGAGUAAAAAUCUAGGAAGGCUUCCUAGAGGAAGUGAUAUUUCAGCAGGAUGUCGGAACAGGUAGCUUCUGAGACAAUGACAGGAAUAAAGGCAUUUCAGAAGAGGAAAUGGCAUAUGAAAUGGUGAAGAGGUGGGAAAGGCCAGGGAUUUCUAUGAAAAUGGUAAAGUCCUAGCCACUGUGCUUGACAUUAGAGCAUAUAUUAAACUAAAAUAGAAUCAGGCUGCCUUUCUGAUUAAUGCAUGAAUAUCCAUGGAUAAGCCUCCUAAACAUUUGUUUAGUGUUUCACCCUGUUCAAAAUAUGGUGAGAAGUAUGUUUUUGUCUGCAACACUGCAGAGAAACCAGGCCUAAUGUGGUCAGGGUCACAAACUAAUACAUGAUGAGUUAAACAUAAACCCACACAUCUCCUGGCUUCUGACCCUACUGCUCUGGGGCCUCAAAAAGUGCUGCGGUCUGAAGGUGAUCUUCCUUCUCCAUUAACCAGGGGCAAUCUUGUUCAGUAUUCAUUUUUAAAAGUAUCCCAGUGUGGGUGACUAAUUAUUUGCUUGCCCAACUACCUCUGCAGACAUUACUUUUGUGAAUUUCUCCUAAGUUUUAGAAGGAGUGAUGGAGAAGUCAGACUGGCCUACAGACAUAGACCCCAAACUACAGGAAACAUUUCCCAGCCACUUCCCCUUAAGUCCAUGGGCCAGGAAAAUGUUUUCACAUCAGGCCAUGAAAAUUUUUUUUUUGGUGUAGCUAAUGGUUCAUUUCAAUGGUAAGU
Molecule: long non-coding RNA, 1443 nt
Filed under: Canis lupus familiaris (dog)
Lineage: Eukaryota; Metazoa; Chordata; Mammalia; Carnivora; Canidae
Description: lncRNA (ENSCAFG00845006206.1)
Source: RNAcentral